This 253-nucleotide ribosomal RNA is filed under the name uncultured bacterium. RNAcentral describes it as "partial 16S ribosomal RNA". It matches the Rfam family "Bacterial small subunit ribosomal RNA", at positions 524 to 776 of the family's 1533-position model. The record is from RNAcentral.
UACGGAGGGUGCAAGCGUUAUCCGGAUUCACUGGGUUUAAAGGGUCCGUAGGCGGUUUUGUAAGUCAGUGGUGAAAGCCCAUCGCUCAACGGUGGAACGGCCAUUGAUACUGCAAGACUUGAAUUAUUGGGAAGCAACUAGAAUAUGUAGUGUAGCGGUGAAAUGCUUAGAUAUUACAUGGAAUACCAAUUGCGAAGGCAGGUUGCUACCAAUACAUUGACGCUGAUGGACGAAAGCGUGGGGAGCGAACAGG